AGUGACAUAGCAAGCAGACUCAUAAUAUAAGCAGGAAAUCGCUCUCUUGCUCUUCUUCUUCCUCCUGCUCUCUUCUCUAAAGAGCUGCCAUGUGAUCCCAGGAAAAGAACGUCCUCGAUAAAGGUCUUUGCAAGAAGCCUCAUUUAUUCUUGAAUUCCAGGAACCUAGGAACUAAGAAAAGCUUUGUUGUGUGGCUGACAGCUUCAGAUCUGGCAUGCACAAUGAAGGGAAAAUCAAAUGGGACCAUCCAUUAACAGAAAUGGCAACAUCACACUGCAAGAAGGCUUUUGUACAAGAUGGAAGGAAUAGUCACAGCCAUCUGCAAACUGUCUACCAUGUCACCACUCUGGCCACUGUAGAGAAUUGAGGUGAUAGAGGUUGACAGAGCCAGCUGAGCCAGAAUGGACCACUUACUCCUAUGAUUAUGAACAAAUAAACAGUUACCAUUGAGGCAACUAGAAUUUUGAGAUAGCCUGUCCAAACUAACUAAAACAACUUCUGAACCCUUAAACUAGAUAAAUGCUGCCCCCCUUUUUUGUUUCCCAUUUUAAAUCCUUCUUUAAAAAAACAUAGAAGUCUUUUAAAGUAAACUAGGUCAUGUGAUUUUUCUUCCAAAGUAACUAAAUUUAGUUUUGUGCUUUAUUGUUAUUGAUUUGUCAGUUUCGGGGUUUUUUGAUUUUUGGUUUUGGUUUUGUGUGUGUCUGUGCUUGUUUUGGGG
RNAcentral lists this long non-coding RNA (718 nucleotides) under Cricetulus griseus (Chinese hamster). RNAcentral's name for it is "lncRNA (ENSCGRG00000026148.1)". Lineage: Eukaryota; Metazoa; Chordata; Mammalia; Rodentia; Cricetidae. The record is from RNAcentral.